Molecule: long non-coding RNA, 2816 nt
Filed under: Sus scrofa (pig)
Lineage: Eukaryota; Metazoa; Chordata; Mammalia; Artiodactyla; Suidae
Description: lncRNA (ENSSSCG00055019203.1)
Source: RNAcentral
GACUGCCUCAUGGCCUGUAAGGGUUUAUUCCCUUGAGUCUGUAUUAUUCCUGAAGCCUGUUCUUGUGUGUGUGUGUGCGCGCGCGUGCAUGCACACAUAAUGUGUAGAAAAAAUCUUAGUUUUUGAAAAGGCUCGUAUGAAGUUGCAUAGCAAGUGUCAAAUAUGGAGCAUUCCUAUCUAUUGAAUAUGUUAGUUCUAAUCUUCAGCAGUGAGACUUUUUCCUUUCCUUUUCCUAGGCAGUAUAAUUUGAUUUAUCCCCCUUGAAAUUGUCACUCAGAUCCAAACCCCUCUGUUAUAUCUCUAGAACUCUGGUUUAAUUUUGUCCUAGAUUAUUACAGAAUCUUCAUGGUUGGCUUAUUCUCAAAUUUUUUUUAUUAUAAAAUAUACAAAAUCAGAGUUCCCAUUGUGGCGCAGUGGAAAUGAAUCAAACUAGGAACCCUGACGUUGUAGGUUCGAUCCUGGCCUUGCUCAGUGGGUUAAGGAUCCGGUGUUGCUGUAGCUGUGGUGUAGGCUGGCAGCUGUAGCUCCAAUUAGACCCCUAGCCUUGAAACUUUCAUGUGCCGCACGUGUGGCCCUAAAAAGACAAAAGACAAGAAAAACCACAAGACCUAAAAUGUACUGUCUUAACCAUUUUAAAGUUACAUUUCAGUGGUGUUAAAUACGUAUAUGCUGUUGUGCAACUGUCACCACCAUCCAUCUUUAUAACUUUUUAUUUUGUAAAAUUGAAACUCUCUACCUAUUGAACCAGUAUGUCCUCUCCUAAGCCUCUGUCAACACCAUUUUACUUUCUUUCUCAUGACACCCUAAGUAGCUCAUGUAAGUGGAAUCAUGCAACAUUUGUCUACUUAUUUAUUUACUUAUUUAUUUUUUAGGGCUGCACCCGAGGCAUGUGGAGGUUUCCAGGCUAGGGUUCAAAUCAGAGCUACAGCUGCCGGCCUACACCACAGCCACAGCAACGUGGGAUCUGUGUCUUUGGCUUGCUUAUACCACAGCUCAUGGCAACGCCACAGCCGGAUCCUUAACCCACUGAGCUAGGUAGAGAUUGAACCCUCAUCUUCAUGGAUACUAGUCAGAUUCAUUUCCGCUGAACCACGAAGGAAACUCCUUUUUUUUUUUUUUUUUUUUGGCAAUAUUUGUCUCCUUAAAAAAAAUCUGUUUAUUCUUAGGGCUGCAUUCUUAGCAUAUGGAAGCUCCUAGGCUAGUGACUGAAUCCGAGACACAGCUGUGACCUGUGUGCAGCUGUGACAACCCCAAAUGCUUUAACCCACACACCAGGCUAGGGAGUAAUAAACCUGUGCCUUGCAGCGACUGGAGCUGCUGCAGUGGUAUUGUUAACCCACGUGCCAUAGCAGGAACUCCAGUAUUUGUCUCUUUGAGACUGGCUUAUGUCACUCAGCACAGUGUCCUCAAGGCUCAUGCAUGUUAUAGCAUGUGUCUGAAUUGCCUUCCUUUUUUUUUUUUUUUUUUUUUUUUUUUUUUNNNNNNNNNNNNNNNNNNNNNNNNNNNNNNNNNNNNNNNNNNNNNNNNNNNNNNNNNNNNNNNNNNNNNNNNNNNNNNNNCAGCCAUAGCAAUGCAGGAUCCGAGCUGCAUCUAUGACCUACACUACAGCUCAUGGCAACAUUGGAUCCUUAACCCACUGAGCAAGGCCAGGGAUCGAACCCACGUCCUCAUGGAUACUAGUCAGAUUCGUUAACUGCUGAGCUCCCUCACUUUGGACUCUUGCAGCUAGCUACAGUUAACACACAUCAGCUGUUGACUUGAUGCUUGCCUUUUUAAAGCCUUCCUAAGCUUCUAGGAGUUUCCAUCUUGGCUCAGUGGUAAAGAUGAACCCAGCUAGUGUCCAUGAGGACGAUCCCUGGCCUUGAUCAGUGGGUGAAGGAUCUGGUAGUGCCAUGAGCUGUGGUGUAGGUAGCAGUUGCAGCUCAGAUCCCAUGUUGCUUUGGCUGUGGUGUAGGCUGGCAGCUGCAGCUCCGAUUCACCCCAUAGCCUGGGAACUUCCAUAUGCUGUGGGUGUGGCCCUAAAAAGCCAAACAAAGAAAAAAGCCUUCCUAAGCUUCUAGAAUUUCUUCCUGAAAUUCUGGAUCCUUCACUGAUGAAAUGUCUCCUGAAUUCGAGGUUAUUUUUACCCCAGCCUCCAAUUUGCCUAAAUGUGGCAUCGUUUAAGGCCACUGCCACUUUUGUCUCAGAGUUUAUAUACCAGCCUGUUGUAAAACAUAAACUGUAAUUGAUUUAUUUAACGUAAGCAGCUUUGUGGUAGUGUCUAUUCUGUUCUCUUUUCUUUAUUUUGCUUUCUGUUGUUGCUUAUGUAGUCAUCAAGAAAGCAUUUGAAUCCUCCUCAGGUGGGUAGGUGUCUUGUUCUAAUUUUAGUACAUGUGCUGCCCUAGCCAGCCCAUGGGGGUAGUAGCUAUUUCAGUCCAGCUUCCUCAGGGUUGUGUCUCCUGAUGAGGUGUUGAUGAGGAGGAUGCGCAGAGAGACAUCUGAUUCACCCAUGCUUUUUUUUUUUUUAAGCUGAGAGAGAUUUUUUUAAUCCUAUUGCCCUUUAGAAAUUUUGAGAGGGCGCCUUGAUUUGGUAUAAACACCCCACCAGAGUAAAAUGAUCUGAAAAGUUGGGUUUUAAAGUUAGUGGGAGUUCCCACUGUGGCACAGUGGGUUAAGAAUCCAACUGCAGUGGCUCAGGUUGCUGAGAAGGCACUGGUUCACUCCCCAGCCAGGCGUGGUGGGUAAAAGGAUCCGGUGUUGGCUGCAGAGCAGCUCAGAUUCAGUCCCUGGCCUGGGAACUUGUAUGCUUUGGGUACGGCCUUAAAAAAAAAAAAAAA